RNAcentral lists this ribosomal RNA (460 nucleotides) under uncultured bacterium. RNAcentral describes it as "partial 16S ribosomal RNA". It matches the Rfam family "Bacterial small subunit ribosomal RNA", at positions 338 to 795 of the family's 1533-position model. The record is from RNAcentral.
CCUACGGGUGGCAGCAGUGAGGAAUAUUGGUCAAUGGGCGAGAGCCUGAACCAGCCAAGUCGCGUGAAGGAUGACGGCUCUAUGGUUUGUAAACUUCUUUUAUAUGGGAAUAAAGUGAGGAACGUGUUCCUUUUUGUAUGUACCAUAUGAAUAAGCAUCGGCUAACUCCGUGCCAGCAGCCGCGGUAAUACGGAGGAUGCGAGCGUUAUCCGGAUUUAUUGGGUUUAAAGGGUGCGUAGGUGGGUAAUUAAGUCAGCGGUGAAAGUUUGUGGCUCAACCAUAAAAUUGCCGUUGAUACUGGUAGACUUGAGUAUAUUUGAGGUAGGCGGAAUGCGUGGUGUAGCGGUGAAAUGCAUAGAUAUCACGCAGAACUCCGAUUGCGAAGGCAGCUUACUAAACUAUAACUGACACUGAAGCACGAAAGCGUGGGGAUCAAACAGGAUUAGAUACCCGGGUAGUC